This 1701-nucleotide long non-coding RNA is filed under the name Zea mays. RNAcentral's name for it is "long non-coding RNA (ZMAY_LNC004292)". Lineage: Eukaryota; Viridiplantae; Streptophyta; Magnoliopsida; Poales; Poaceae. The record is from RNAcentral.
UCACCCUGGCUCCAGCUCCCCACAUCGAUGCUCCUUGCCCUGUCGUUCCCAUCGGCUGGGCGCUUUGCGUCUAGGAAAAACCACCGCACCAGCUCGCGCGCUCCCUACCCGGCCGUGCGUCCCUGCUCCCUCGCCACCUGGUGCAUGCGCGCGGCUUUCUACACGCCGGAGCAACACUUGUGCUUGGCCCCUGCGCUGAACCCUGCUCAGCUUCUCUAGUGCCGGCCGCCGCUCCAAGUCCUCUACUCGCCGACGCCAUGGACAGCUCGCGGUCGUUGCGUUGCAGGGUCCCAGUCACCAUUUCAAAGCUGCCCAGCUCCUAGACUGUCGUCCCUGUUUCUCACCGAUUAAAUUAUUGGUGAGCUGUCGUCGCUCUCGCUUUUCGUUUUAAUAUUUCCCAUCAAUUUAGUAUGAUUGCGCUGUCCAGGUAGGCUGGUGACGUAUACGUAAAUCGCAUUAGUGUGAUUUCGUAUAAUGCUAGAUAGGUGUUCGACGAUUUAGGGGAAACAGUAAACGUCAUCAUUUUUGUUAAUUCCAAGUCGCACUGUGAUACGAGAAGCUGAUGUAUUAUUACUCGUAGCCGAAUCGUUAGAUAGAUUGGCUACCUAGGUACGUCGCGACGAUUAUCCCGUUUGUAGAUCAGGCAUGUAUUUAUUUGACGUUUGUAGAAAUACGGGGCUAUAAGUAGCAUGGUAAUUAUGUCCACGAUUGUGAAGUCGUCGUGCUGUGUAGCUAAGUUUAGGAUUAACGACAUAGGUUAUACGAGAAGAUUAAAUCGGUGAUUCGUAUCCGGUGAAUGGUCGAAUUAAUAAUGGGAAAGUUAGGUUUAGAUAUUUAUUAUGCGAGAUAAAACUUAGGUUUAAAAUGCUAGUUACGUAGGAGUACCGAGCGAGCGUGUCUGUCGAGUGUGUUCAAAUUGGUUUUACUUAUAAAGUAUGUCAAAUUAAUAGCGUAAAUAAUUGAUUUAGUAAUCCAAACAAUUAUCUGAUAAGGCUGUUAUCGUUGAUUUUGUAGGAUAUUUUGGUAGUAAAACCUGAAAUGUUUAAUUAAUUGUUGACAUGUAAAAUAUGUGAGGUGUAAAAUAAAAUUAAAAUAAUUCUUUGUGAGCGAUGUAGUAUAAUUUAUAAAGCGAGGAAUAAGUUUAGAAUUUAAUUAAUUAACUGAUAAGUUGUGUUUAGUCUAAUCGUGAUUAAUGUGUUAAUUUGUUGUUUCGUGAUGUUUGCGAUAGGUUCGAGAAGCGUAAUUAUUGCGCUUAGUCGUACGUCGAUAAUUAUUGUCUCCAUAUGAAAUUGUUCAACGCCUCGCCGCUAGGUGUUUAAUUCGCUAUCGCGUAGCACUAUUUAGGCUGGUGAUAUUCCUGUCUAUAUGCAUUCAUGUGCAUAAUGCAUUCCAUUCAGGUACGUUAAGUAAUCAUGUGAAGCGAGAGACGAGCCAAGUCGACCCCAAGCGUGGGCUACUCCGCAUGAUGAUGCUGAUGGACGAACCUGCCCGAUCAAGUACUAGGACAAAGGAUGGUCGUCAAGUGGACGUCAUCUAACAAACACUAGCAUAGUGUUUAUUCCAGGCAAGCCCCGGUGCAUUUACCCCUUUCCUUGUGUUUUUAAAUUAUUUUUACACACUUUAAGUCUAGUGAAUGUGCAUUAGGUUUAUAGGAGUUGGUUGGAAACCCUUUGAUGCAUUGCCUUCCUUGAUAUCCAUACC